GACGAACGCUGGCGGCGUGCUUAACACAUGCAAGUCGAACGGAAAGGCCCUGCUUGCAGGGUCCUCGAGUGGCGAACGGGUGAGUAACACGUGGGUGAUCUGCCCUGCACUUCGGGAUAAGCCUGGGAAACUGGGUCUAAUACCGGAUAGGAGCCAUUUUUAGUGUGAUGGUUGGAAAGUUUUUUCGGUGUAGGAUGAGCUCGCGGCCUAUCAGCUUGUUGGUGGGGUAAUGGCCUACCAAGGCGGUGACGGGUAGCCGGCCUGAGAGGGUGGACGGCCACAUUGGGACUGAGAUACGGCCCAGACUCCUACGGGAGGCAGCAGUGGGGAAUAUUGCACAAUGGGCGCAAGCCUGAUGCAGCGACGCCGCGUGGGGGAUGACGGCCUUCGGGUUGUAAACUCCUUUCGCUAGGGACGAAGCUUUUUGUGACGGUACCUAGAUAAGAAGCACCGGCUAACUACGUG
This 465-nucleotide ribosomal RNA is filed under the name uncultured bacterium. RNAcentral describes it as "partial 16S ribosomal RNA". It matches the Rfam family "Bacterial small subunit ribosomal RNA", at positions 28 to 507 of the family's 1533-position model. The record is from RNAcentral.